GACGAACGCUGGCGGCGUGCUUAACACAUGCAAGUCGAACGGAAAGGCCCUGCUUUUGUGGGGUGCUCGAGUGGCGAACGGGUGAGUAACACGUGAGUAACCUGCCCUUGACUUUGGGAUAACUUCAGGAAACUGGGGCUAAUACCGGAUAGGAGCUCCUGCUGCAUGGUGGGGGUUGGAAAGUUUCGGCGGUUGGGGAUGGACUCGCGGCUUAUCAGCUUGUUGGUGGGGUAGUGGCUUACCAAGGCUUUGACGGGUAGCCGGCCUGAGAGGGUGACCGGCCACAUUGGGACUGAGAUACGGCCCAGACUCAUACGGGAGGCAGCAGUGGAGAAUAUUGCACAAUGGGCGGAAGCCUGAUGCAGCAACGCCGCGUGCGGGAUGACGGCCUUCGGGUUGUAAACCGCUUUCGCCUGUGACGAAGCGUGAGUGACGGUAAUGGGUAAAGAAGCACCGGCUAACUACGUG
RNAcentral lists this ribosomal RNA (468 nucleotides) under uncultured bacterium. RNAcentral describes it as "partial 16S ribosomal RNA". It matches the Rfam family "Bacterial small subunit ribosomal RNA", at positions 28 to 507 of the family's 1533-position model. The record is from RNAcentral.